UUAAGUCCCAAACUCGCGGUCACAUGAGGAUCCAAGCCCCAAACCCGCUGUCACAUGAGGAUCCGAGUUUCCUCCAUACAAGACCGAUACAUAGUUGAAGCGGUCAUGAACGAAGUCAGAGAGAGCAUUUGCAUUACGCUGCUCUCUAUUUCAGCGUCUCCAUCAUCAUCAACGAUAUCACGUCCUACUUCCAAUCGAACAAGAGGAGCAUCGAUCUCAUCGACGGCGCAUUCAUUCUUACAGCUUCAUGUUUGAAGGUAUGAGGUUACAGAGAUGUGAAAACUAGAAGUGUUCCAUGAGGCUCAAAAGCUUCGACGACGCCGUUUGCUUCGGUGUCAGUCGUACACAAACAAAGUAAGAAGAAAAACGUGAAAGAGGAGUCGAAAACUCACCAGAUUGCAGAAGACGAUUGUUAUAGAAGAUUGCAAAGGAUGCUUGCAGAAUAAUUGCAGAAGAUCGCAGAAGAUUGUAGAAGCUCCUUAUUGCAGAAGAUGAUUGCAGAAGCUUGUAGAAGAUGAUUGCAUAAGCUGAUUGCAGAAGAAUCUUGCAGAAGAUUGCAGAAGCUCCUUGUUGCAGAAGAUGAUUGCAGAAGAAUCUUGCAGAAGAUUGCAGAAGCUCCUUGUUGCAGAAGAUGAUUGCAGAAGGUUGCAGAAGAUGAUUUCAGAAGAUCCUUGUAGAAGAUGAUUGCAGAAUGAUUGCAGAAGCUUACAGAAGAUCCUUGCAGAAGAUGAUUGCGGAAUGAUUGCAGAAGAAUGCUUGCGAAAUGGGGCUACAACUGGUUAUAUAGAGGAUCAAUCCAACUGACUUGGGCAAGCUCUUGGGCAACCAGGGCUGUUUAAACGAGCUUGAAUUUACUGCAGGGUUUUUGAUACCAAGGUCAUAUUCAUGGACUUAAGACUUUGUUGUUGAAUGGAUAGUGGAUGAAAAAGUUAGGGAUGAGUCAACUACUGCAAUGCAUAAUGAGAUGCGAGUGAAGCAGGUUGCCAAAGAACAUAUUUGGUUGCUUGUUAUGUUCAUGAUCUGACCUGCAGGAUGAUUGAAGUUGAGGCAAGGUGAAUGCUUGGCUUGGUGUAAUGGUUGCUACCAACUUCAUGUGGUCUGCAGAAUGACUCCAAUAGAGAUGGCAAAUGGAUGGUGGACCUUGAAGAUGGAAAUUGAUACUUGUAAUCAAAUUAGAUCUUGUGUAUUUAGAACUUGUACAAGUUUUUUUUAUUGAAGUGUAAUAGCUAUUAACAACUAUGUAUACAACAUGAUCUUUGAUAACAUUUCACUUGUUUUCUAUCAA
Long non-coding RNA from Lathyrus oleraceus (garden pea), 1285 nucleotides. RefSeq lists it as uncharacterized. The record is from RefSeq and is a predicted model, not a curated record. NCBI's taxonomy places the organism in Eukaryota, Viridiplantae, Streptophyta, Magnoliopsida, Fabales, Fabaceae. The transcript has 3 exons.